AGUGAACGCUGGCGGCAGGCCUAACACAUGCAAGUCGAGCGAACAGAUGAAGUGCUUGCACUUCUGACGUUAGCGGCGAACGGGUGAGUAACACGUAAGGAAUCUACCUAUAAGCGGGGGAUAACAUUCGGAAACGGGUGCUAAUACCGCAUAAUAUCUUCUUCCGCAUGGAAGAAGAUUGAAAGACGGCUCUGCUGUCACUUAUAGAUGACCUUGCGGUGCAUUAGUUAGUUGGUGGGGUAAUGGCCUACCAAGACGAUGAUGCAUAGCCGACCUGAGAGGUGGAUCGGCCACAUUGGGACUGAGAAACGGCCCAAACUCCUACGGGAGGCAGCAGUAGGGAAUCUUCCGCAAUGGGCGAAAGCCUGACGGAGCAAUGCCGCGUGAGUGAAGAAGGCCUUCGGGUCGUAAAACUCUGUUAUAAGAGAAGAACAAAUUGUAGAGUAACUGCUACAGUCUUGACGGUAUCUUAUCAGAAAGCCACGGCUAACUACGUGCCAGCCGCCGCAGUAA
This 513-nucleotide ribosomal RNA is filed under the name uncultured bacterium. RNAcentral describes it as "partial 16S ribosomal RNA". It matches the Rfam family "Bacterial small subunit ribosomal RNA", at positions 29 to 523 of the family's 1533-position model. The record is from RNAcentral.